UACGGGGGGGGCGAGCGUUGUUCGGAAUUACUGGGCGUAAAGGGUUUGUAGGUGGUCUGCUAAGACAGAUGUGAAAUCCCCGGGCUCAACCUGGGAACUGCAUUUGUGACUGUAGAGCUGGAGUGCGGCAGAGGGGGAUGGAAUUCCGCGUGUAGCAGUGAAAUGCGUAGAUAUGCGGAGGAACACCGAUGGCGAAGGCAAUCCCCUGGGCCUGCACUGACGCUCAUGCACGAAAGCGUGGGGAGCAAACAGG
RNAcentral lists this ribosomal RNA (253 nucleotides) under uncultured bacterium. Its description in RNAcentral is "partial 16S ribosomal RNA". It matches the Rfam family "Bacterial small subunit ribosomal RNA", at positions 524 to 776 of the family's 1533-position model. The record is from RNAcentral.